AGAACGAACGCUGGCGGCAUGCCUAAUACAUGCAAGUCGAACGAACACUUCGGUGUUAGUGGCGCACGGGUGCGUAACGCGUGGGAAUCUGCCCUUGGGUUCGGAAUAACAGUUGGAAACGACUGCUAAUACCGGAUGAUAUCGAAAGAUCAAAGAUUUAUCGCCCAGGGAUGAGCCCGCGUAGGAUUAGCUAGUUGGUGAGGUAAAGGCUCACCAAGGCGACGAUCCUUAGCUGGUCUGAGAGGAUGAUCAGCCACACGUGGGACUGAGACACGGCCCAGACUCCGUACGGGAGGCAGCGAGUAGGGAAUAUUGGACAA
Molecule: ribosomal RNA, 320 nt
Filed under: uncultured soil bacterium
Lineage: Bacteria
Description: bacterial SSU rRNA
Rfam family: Bacterial small subunit ribosomal RNA
Source: RNAcentral